This 495-nucleotide ribosomal RNA is filed under the name Thalassiosira antarctica. RNAcentral describes it as "partial Bacterial large subunit ribosomal RNA". It matches the Rfam family "Bacterial large subunit ribosomal RNA", at positions 1 to 517 of the family's 2925-position model. The record is from RNAcentral. Lineage: Eukaryota; Bacillariophyta; Thalassiosirophyceae; Thalassiosirales; Thalassiosiraceae.
UAAGCAAUUAAGGGCACACGGUGGAUGCCUAGGCAUGCAGAGGCGAAGAAGGACGUGUAAAGCUGCGAUAAGCUGCGGGGAGUUGCAAAAGAACUGUGAUCCGCGGAUUUCCGAAUGGGGCAACCCACUCUAAUUUAUUAGGGUAUCCUUUCGAGGAGGCAUACCCGGGGAACUGAAACAUCUAAGUACCCGGAGGAAGAGAAAACAAUCAAGUGAUUCCGCAAGUAGUGGCGAGCGAACGCGGAACAGCCCAAACCGCAUCCUACGGGGUGCGGGGUAGUAGGACCUGCGUAAUUCAAGUAAUCUUAAAUCGAAGCUGUCUGGAAAGCAGCGCCACAGAAGGUGAAAGCCCUGUAGGUGUACCGAUUAUUUGAAGGCGGGUAUCCUGAGUAGCGCGAGACCGGUGAAAUCUUGCGUGAACCAGCCGGCACCAUCCGGUAAGGCUAAAUACAUCUGCAUGACCGAUAGUGAACCAGUACCGUGAGGGAAAGGUGA